UAGGGAAUAUUGGUUAAUGUGCGAAAGCGCGGACCAGCAACGCCGCGUGUGCGAUGAAGGCCUUCGGGUCGUAAAGCACUUUUUGCAGGGAAGAGGAAGGACGGUACCUGCAGAAUAAGUCUCGGCUAACUACGUGCCAGCAGCCGCGGUAAAACGUAGGAGACGAGCGUUAUCCGGAUUUACUGGGCGUAAAGCGCGUGCAGGCGGCAUGGCAAGUUGGAUGUGAAAGCUCCCGGCUUAACUGGGAGAGGUCGUUCAAUACUGCCAGGCUUGAGAGUGGUAGUGGGAAGCGGAAUUCCGGGUGUAGUGGUGAAAUGCGUAGAUAACCGGAGGGACACCAGUGGCGAAAGCGGCUUCCUGGCCCAUUUCUGACGCUCAGACGCGAAAGCUAGGGUAGCAAACGG
Molecule: ribosomal RNA, 404 nt
Filed under: uncultured bacterium
Lineage: Bacteria
Description: bacterial SSU rRNA
Rfam family: Bacterial small subunit ribosomal RNA
Source: RNAcentral